UACGUAGGCCCCGAGCGUUAUCCGGAAUUACUGGGCGUAAAGUGCGCGUAGGCGUUUUUGUAAGUCGGUCGUUAAAUCUCACAGCUUAACUGUGAGACCGCGAGCGAUACUACAAGAAUUGAGUUUUGCAGGGGCUAGCAGAAUUUCUGGAGGAGGGGUGAAAUACGUUGAUACCAGAAGGAAUACCAAUGGCGAAGGCAGCUAGCUGGGCAAUAACUGACGCUGAGAGCGCGAAAGCGUGGGGAGCAAACGGG
RNAcentral lists this ribosomal RNA (254 nucleotides) under uncultured bacterium. RNAcentral describes it as "partial 16S ribosomal RNA". It matches the Rfam family "Bacterial small subunit ribosomal RNA", at positions 524 to 776 of the family's 1533-position model. The record is from RNAcentral.